AAAGAAUCGCCUCCCUUCGCCUUUGUUUGGUUGGGGGUUAAGGGGUGGAAUAACCACUUAACCCCUAUAUUAUCCCCAAACACCUUAAAAAAUAGGUGGGAUUAGCUAACCCCAUCUCAAAUGGGCUAUCCCGGGUUAGCUAACCCCACCUAACCCUAUCAAACCCCAACCAAAUAUUAUUUUCUAUUUAUAAUAACCCACUGCCCUUCUUAUCCCACCUACUCCAAUCACACACUAUUUUUCACUAUUCUGAACUAAUUCUAACCUCUAACCAAACACAAAAAUACUCUAAUCUUACUUAAACCCCGAACUUAAUCCUAUCCCUAAAAUAAUUAGUUUUUUCUUUAACCCUGAAUCAAAC
Molecule: long non-coding RNA, 361 nt
Filed under: Ananas comosus (pineapple)
Lineage: Eukaryota; Viridiplantae; Streptophyta; Magnoliopsida; Poales; Bromeliaceae
Description: long non-coding RNA (ACOM_LNC028100)
Source: RNAcentral